GGGCCUUGGCGGGAGGCUAAAAUGCAGUCGAGCGGAUGAAGGGAGCUUGCUCCUGGAUUCACGGCGGACGGGUGAGUAAUGCCUACGAAUCUGCCUGGUAGUGGGGGACAACGUUUCGAAAGGAACGCUAAUACCGCAUACGUCCUACUGGAGAAAGCAGGGGACCUUCGGGCCUUCGCUUAUUGACAAGGUGAGCCUAAGGUUCGGAUUAGCUAUGUGUGAGGUAUGGCUCACCAAGGACGCCGUAACUGUCUGAGAGUGUAUGAUGCAUCACACUGGAUGAGACACGGUUCCAACUCCUACGGGAGGCAGCUGGGGAUAUUGGACAAUGGGCAAAGCCUGAUCCAGCAUGCCGCGUGUGUGAAGAAGUCUCGGUGUAAACAUUAUGGGAGGGAAGUGGUGUAAUUAAUACUUGCAUUUGAACGUUACCGACAAAUAAGCACGGCUAACUCUGUCCAGCAGCCGCGGUAAUACAAGGGUGCAGAGCGUUAAUCGUGAAUUACUGGGCGUAAGACGCGCGUAGGUGUUCGUUAAGUUGGAUGUGAAAUCCCACGGGCUCAACCUGGGAACUGCAUCCAAAUACUGGGAGCUAGAGUAUGUAGAGGUGGUGGAAUUUCCUGUGUAGCGGUGAAAUGCGUAGAUAUAGAAGAACACCAGUGGCAAGGCGACCACCUGGACUGAUACUGACACUGAGUGCGAAAGCGUGGGAGCAAACAGGAUUAGAUACCCUGGUAGUCCACGCCGUAAACGAUGUCAACUAGCCGUUGGGAGCCUUGAGCUCUUAGUGGCGCAGCUAACGCAUUAGUUGACCGCCUGGGGAGUACGGCCGCGGUUAAAACUCAAAUGAAUUGACGGGGCCCGCAAAGCGGUGGAGCAUGUGGUUUAAUUAGCACCGAAACCUUACCAGGCCUUGACAUCCAAUGAACUUUCCAGAAUGGAUUGUGCCUUCGGGAACAUUGAACAGGUGCUGCAUGGCUGUGUCAGCUCGUGUCGUGAGAUGUUGGGUUAGUCCCUGUACGGACCAACCCUUGUCUUAGCUUACCACACGUUAAUGGUUGGCUUAAAGGAGACUGCUCGUGACAUGAACCUGAGAAGGCUGGGGGAAUGAACGAUCAGAGGUCAUUAUGGGCUCUAUACGCUGGCUAAUACCACGUGCCUAUCAAUGGAUCGGUAACAAAGGUUUGCGCAAUGCCGCGGAGGGCAUCUACCUUAGUCCGAUCGCACGCACUCGACUGCGUGAAGUGGGAAUCGCUAGUAAUCGCGAAUCAGAAUGUCGCGGUGAAUACGUUCCCGGGCCUUGUACACACCGCCCGUCACCCCAUGGGAGUGGGUUGCACCAGAAGUAGCUAGUCUAACCUUCGGGAGCCCGGUUACCACGGUGAUACAGCCGA
RNAcentral lists this ribosomal RNA (1391 nucleotides) under Pseudomonas koreensis. Its description in RNAcentral is "bacterial SSU rRNA". It matches the Rfam family "Bacterial small subunit ribosomal RNA". The record is from RNAcentral. Lineage: Bacteria; Pseudomonadati; Pseudomonadota; Gammaproteobacteria; Pseudomonadales; Pseudomonadaceae.